This 468-nucleotide ribosomal RNA is filed under the name uncultured bacterium. RNAcentral describes it as "partial 16S ribosomal RNA". It matches the Rfam family "Bacterial small subunit ribosomal RNA", at positions 28 to 507 of the family's 1533-position model. The record is from RNAcentral.
GACGAACGCUGGCGGCGUGCUUAACACAUGCAAGUCGAACGGAAAGGCCCUGCUUUUGUGGGGUGCUCGAGUGGCGAACGGGUGAGUAACACGUGAGUAACCUGCCCUUUACUUUGGGAUAACUUCAGGAAACUGGUGCUAAUACCUGAUAGGAGCUCCUGCUGCAUGGUGGGGGUUGGAAAGUUUCGGCGGUUGGGGAUGGACUCGCGGCUUAUCAGCUUGUUGGUGGGGUAGUGGCUUACCAAGGCUUUGACGGGUAGCCGGCCUGAGAGGGUGACCGGCCACAUUGGGACUGAGAGACGGCGCAGACGCCUACGGGAGGCAGCAGUGGGGAAUAUUGCACAAUGGGCGGAAGCCUGAUGAAGCAACGCCGCGUGAGGGAUGAAGGCCUUCGGGUGGUAAACCGCUUUCGCCUGUGACGAAGCGGGAGUGACGGUAAUGGGUAAAGAAGCACCGGCUAACUACGUG